AGAGAGAGAGAUGUGCAAGUGACGAACAAAUAGGGAGCCAGGGAGGAGAAGAGACCCAAUAAUGACCUGAUGAGACAAACUGUCAUAAUAUAUACUAGCAUCUUGACCCGCAUAAUAUGCGUGUAUGUAUUUUUUUACUAUUACAGUUAUGCUCAAAGUCUUAUUUCCCUCCCACCUUCCACGUUUUAAGUUUCUUUUUUUCUUUUUUUUUUUCUUGUUUCCAACAUUUGCAAUUACUAAUUUGUCUUUCAUCUGUUAGAAGACAGAUUUUAAAGUUUUAAUCAAUCAACAGUAUUUUAUAGGUAGUUUAAAAAUUUAACCGUUCACAAAGUCAAAAAAAACUUUUUGGUUUUAUUAAUAGAGAUUAUAUUUGUUUUUGCAUAGAGCAUAGCUAGAAACCAUGCUUGUGGUCUGGUGGUCAGUAGCUUGUUUUGUUAAGUGAGGUGGGAAGGGUUCGAGCCUCAGCAAGGUAAGAUUUUUUAUUUAAUUAUUUCCAGAAACUUUUACCAAGUCCUAGGGCAGAUUGGACAUUUUGUUCAAAAGUGGGCUAUGUUGUUGGUGAAAAGUCAGUAUGUGACGUCAUAGUUGGAGUCUUAUCCCUUGGUUGGCAUGAUAUAAAUUAAUUGGAGAUAACUUGGGUGACCAGCUAUGGUUAUUUAUGGGUGACAAACACCAAUGGGAGAUGGAUAAGAGUUAACAAUAAUUAUAAACAAACAUGCCAAAUACCCAAAACCCCCUGAUUAUGUCUUUAAAUUACAGCCAAACCUUUUAAAAUGGACACGUGUCUCGUGUUCAUUGGUUGUGGUCACCUUAAGGUGACACCGAAGUCGGAUUCAAAUUAAUUUAUGUGUGCAUAUAUAUAUAGUAACAGCUUAUGCAUGAGAAACUAAUGCAUGAACAAAUAGAUACAUACGUUGGGAUAAAUUAAUGCCAUUGAUUAAAAUUUGGUUGGAAUUUUGGAUCCGGAAUUGCCAACCAGCAGCUUUUGCUGGUCUCCAUGACCAACCAAUCAAAGAGAGAGAGAGAAGAGAGAAGAGAGAAGAGAGAGAGAGAGAGAGAGAGAGAGAGAGAGAGAG
This 1076-nucleotide long non-coding RNA is filed under the name Fragaria vesca (wild strawberry). RNAcentral's name for it is "long non-coding RNA (FVES_LNC004269)". Lineage: Eukaryota; Viridiplantae; Streptophyta; Magnoliopsida; Rosales; Rosaceae. The record is from RNAcentral.